UACGGGAGGCAGCAGUGGGGAAUAUUGCACAAUGGGCGCAAGCCUGAUGCAGCCAUGCCGCGUGUAUGAAGAAGGCCUUCGGGUUGUAAAGUACUUUCAGUCGUGAGGAAGGUGUUAAGGUUAAUAACCUUAGCAAUUGACGUUAGCGACAGAAGAAGCACCGGCUAACUCCGUGCCAGCAGCCGCGGUAAUACGGAGGGUGCGAGCGUUAAUCGGAAUUACUGAGCGUAAAGGGCACGCAGGCGGUUAAUUAAGUUGGAUGUGAAAUCCCCGGGCUUAACCUGGGAAUGGCAUUCAAGACUGGUUAGCUAGAGUCUUGUAGAGGGGGUAGAAUUCCAUGUGUAGCGGUGAAAUGCGUAGAGAUGUGGAGGAAUACCGGUGGCGAAGGCGGCCCCUGGGACAAAGGACUGACGCUCAUGUGCGAAAGCGUGGGGAGCAAACAGGGAUUAGAUACC
RNAcentral lists this ribosomal RNA (455 nucleotides) under uncultured bacterium. RNAcentral describes it as "bacterial SSU rRNA". It matches the Rfam family "Bacterial small subunit ribosomal RNA", at positions 340 to 786 of the family's 1533-position model. The record is from RNAcentral.